This 113-nucleotide non-coding RNA is filed under the name bovine gut metagenome. RNAcentral's name for it is "Glycine riboswitch". It matches the Rfam family "Glycine riboswitch aptamer", at positions 7 to 90 of the family's 94-position model. Rfam says of the family: This family represents the bacterial glycine riboswitch. Glycine riboswitches usually consist of two metabolite-binding aptamers domains with similar structures in tandem. The record is from RNAcentral.
GGCUCUGGAGAUGCCCAUGUGUGACAAGGGAGCCGAAGGGGAAAGUAUGACAGACGCGAGGUUACGGCUGCGUUUGUUCUGCGAAUCUCUCAGGCAAAAGGACAGAGACGGAA